Molecule: long non-coding RNA, 1921 nt
Organism: Hypanus sabinus (Atlantic stingray)
Lineage: Eukaryota; Metazoa; Chordata; Chondrichthyes; Myliobatiformes; Dasyatidae
Exons: 4
Source: RefSeq, a predicted model, not a curated record
UCCGUGAUAGAGCUGGCUCACGCCGGUAUUUCUUCCUCUUUGCCCCUCGUGUCGGUGGCAGGCGGACGGCUGUCAUGUGCGGAAGCAAGUCCGGCGGGCCUGUAGGGCAGGACGCGGUGCUAGAGCCUGGGCCGCUGCAAGCUGACUUGUAUUUCUGUGGCGCUCUGCCUGUGUGACCGGGGCGGCGUCCUUCUCAGUAAUUACAGCAGAGAGCAAGGAAAUGAAAUAGACAUUCAUGAAGAAAACUUUGACUAACAACAGAUGUGCUAAAGGCAGCAAACUGCAAAGUGAAUGAAGUAAACAAAAGCAAGGCUGCAUGUACAUUUGGAAGUGCAAAGAGUUAUCAAGUAUAUGAAAAGCAACCCUUGGGAUUUCCCCAACAAAGAAUUGACAACUGAAGAGAAACUGACAAGAGCAAGAAACUAAAUGGGAUUGGAAAUUGUUUACAUUUCGGUUUUGUAUUUGGUCUGGAGUAAAAUUUAAAAAAAACUGGUGGGGGGAACUCGGUGCAUCAGGCAAGGCAGCAUUAGAUAUUUGAAUUAUUGGGUUGAGGUGCAGGAACUCAAUAAGAUGUUAACUGUCCCAAAUGAUGCUGCCUGACCUGAGUUCCUUUGGCAUUUAACUAUAUCAAAAGUAUGAAUGGUGUUUUGUUUAAUGCUGAGUUUGCUAUCUUUGGGCCAUGUUUUCAUAAGUGUUCUAUUUGGUGUAUAUAAAAAACAAGAACAAGUGAAAGGGAAGGCUUGAGUUUGCUAUUAAAUGUUGAAAAUUUAUUUAAUUUUCUAGGGAAAUUCGUCAAACCAGAUGCUGGAGCAGCAUAAGUGAGAGAAUAUCUGUGUAUUCAAUGUUUUUUAAUAGUGCAUCAAAGCUAUUUAAAUGAGUAGAUUUUGGUUAAUUUGGGCACAUCAGGACCAGUACGUCUUGACUUGAUUAUGCGGCUGCCCCAGUUAGCCAGAGGUUCAUGGAAAGUUUCAAAAUAUAUAGAAAGACAAGUUGAGUAACAAUUCAUAUUUUUAAAAAAGCUUAACAAAUUGGAGCACUGCCAGUACUACCACAGUACUGUAAAACUAAUUUCUAAUGGUUAUUGAUGGGACUGCCUUCAAACGAUGCUAUUGACAUAACUUGAUGUAGUUUUCACUCCUGGCCAUUCCUAGUAUCUCUAGGUUUGAAUGCUUGAAACAUCUGUGAGCAAAACAACACUGAAUUGUCUUGCUGCUCAUUUCUCACCAACUAUUGCUGACCAAAUUCGAUGCUUUGAACAUAAGCAUACAGCUGACACUGUUUUAAGAACUGUUCAGCAAUUCAAAGUUUCCCAAUGCUGAAGUGUCAAGUGCAUAUGGGCAGACACAGCCUUUUGUAAGUGUCACGUACACACAACCCUGUAAAAGUAUCAGCAACAAUUGAACUCACCUGGAGUCUGAUUCUGCAGUUAACAAACACUAUUUUAUUAGUAACUACUGAUAAUAGUAAACUUAAGACCAGAUAAUCCAAGGGUUAGCAGUGUUGUGCAUAUAUAGGUGUAAAUAUAUACUUAAGGAUUGGGUGGUAAAUCCCAACCUCCAGGCCAGGAAGCAUGUAGGUGCAGCGGUAGGCAGAAUACACCCAGCACAUCUUUAAGGAAAAAGCUGAAAUAAACAACUUGGGGAAAAAAACACAUUUAAAUCAGGGAGUUCGCAUUUGCAGAAAAUUUUCUGUAAUGCAAAAUUUGUUGGAGUUGUAUUUAGAAAUUCUACAUGUUUCAUGUGAAAAUACUUUUGAGAUUUGAACGUUGUAAGGGUGUUACCAUUACUUAUGUAAUGCAGUUGGUAUAAAUAACCUGGUUUUCAGAAGAUGGUUCUUAUUAAGGGAAUUGUGACUUUGUAUACUUUCUUUUGUAUACUAUAUGUAAUGUUUUGAUCAAUUUACAUUAAAAAUGAAAAACUCA